CGCCUAAUAGCUAGCCUCCACAACCAAACUUUUCUAUUAUGAAAUUAAAAACUUAAAAUUUACUUAAGUAAACCAUUUUAACCCCAAGUACGGGCGACGAAAAAGGAAAAAAGAGCAACAGAUAAAGUACCGCGAGGGAACGCUGAAAGAGAAAUGAAAUAAUUCAUUUAAGCCCCGAACAGCAGAGCUACCCCCUCGUACCUUUUGCAUCAUGAUUUAGCAAGAAAAAUACAAGCAAAGAGCCCUUUAGUUUGUAACCCCGAAACUGACGCGAGCUACUCCAAGACAGCCUUUCUAGGGCAAACCCGUCUCUGUGGCAAAAGAGUGGGGAGAGCUUUGAGUAGAGGUGAUAAACCUACCGAGCCCAGUUAUAGCUGGUUGCCUGAGAAAUGAAUAGAAGUUCAGCCCUUUGAGUCUUUCCCCCGCCCACAAUGCUUACGCUUAAAUAGGCCAAGGAAACUAAAGGAGUUAAUCAAAAGGGGUACAGCCCUUCUGAUAAAAGAAACAACUUUAACAGGUGACCCAAGAUCAUAUUAAUUAAGGACUUUAAAUUAAGUGGGCCUAAGAGCAGCCAUCUUAACAGAAAGCGUUAAAGCUCAAAUUAAACACCAUCCGCACAUACUGAUAUCUCAUCUCCCUCCCUGCUUUCUACCAGGCUGUCCUAUGCCCCCAUAGGAACAAUUAUGCUAAAAUGAGUAAUAAGAAGAAUAUCGUUCUUCUCCAAGCACCCGUGUAAGUCGGAACGGACCUCCCACCGACCAUUAACCGACCCCAAACCCAGAGGGACAUAAGUCGUUCCAACAAGAAAACCACUUAUUUUAAACCGUUAGCCCUACACAGGCGUGCCCCAAGGAAAGACUAAAAGAGAAGGAAGGAACUCGGCAAACACAAGCCUCGCCUGUUUACCAAAAACAUCGCCUCUUGUCCCUCAAAGUAUAAGAGGUCCCGCCUGCCCUGUGACUAUAUGUUUAACGGCCGCGGUAUCUUAACCGUGCGAAGGUAGCGUAAUCACUUGUCUUUUAAAUGAAGACCUGUAUGAAUGGCAUCACGAGGGCUUAACUGUCUCCCCUCUCCAGUCAAUGAAAUUGACCUCCCCGUGCAGAGGCGGGGAUAUCUUUAUAAGACGAGAAGACCCUGUGGAGCUUUAGACCUAAAAUAAACCACGUUUAAUAUACUAAAGUUAAUAGCAAAAACUUAGUGGAUAUUUAUUAAAGUGUCUUUGGUUGGGGCGACCGCGGAGUAAAACAUAACCUCCAUGUGGAUGGGGAUACUAUCCCUAAAACUCAGAGCCUCCACUCCAAGCAACAGAAAUUCUGACCUACUGAUCCGGUAUAACCGAUUAACGAACCCAGUUACCCCAGGGAUAACAGCGCAAUCCCCUCUCAGAGCUCAUAUCGACGAGGGGGUUUACGACCUCGAUGUUGGAUCAGGACAUCCUAGUGGUGCAGCCGCUAUUGAGGGUUCGUUUGUUCAACGAUUAAAGUCCUACGUGAUCUGAGUUCAGACCGGAGUAAUCCAGGUCAGUUUCUAUCUAUAACAAGCUCUUUUCCAGUACGAAAGGAACGAAAAAAGGGGGCCCAUGCCUAACGCACGCCCCUCCCCUCACCACUGACACCUAAUAAAGUGGAAAAGGGGGCUUAAAAAGGCCCCAGAAAAUAUGGGCAU
Molecule: ribosomal RNA, 1665 nt
Filed under: Merluccius merluccius (European hake)
Lineage: Eukaryota; Metazoa; Chordata; Actinopteri; Gadiformes; Merlucciidae
Description: 16S ribosomal RNA
Rfam family: Bacterial large subunit ribosomal RNA
Source: RNAcentral